UGCUGGGAAGUCCUGAGCAGCAAAGUCUGCUCCUGCUUCCCAGAGUGGUUAACAUGGUUUAAUAUCAUGCUGUGAUAUUAAAUUGUAUUGACUUCAAGAGCUGUAAAAAUUGUUUAUAACAGAACUACAGAAUGGUUUGGGCUGGAAGGUACCUUAAGGACAAUCCAGUUCCAACCCUGUGCCAUGGGCAGGGACACUUUCCACUAUCCCAGGCUGCU
This is a non-coding RNA of Sturnus vulgaris (Common starling), 218 nucleotides long. NCBI's taxonomy places the organism in Eukaryota, Metazoa, Chordata, Aves, Passeriformes, Sturnidae. The record is from RefSeq and is a predicted model, not a curated record.